GACAAAAUAAAUAUGAUCUGUUAUGAAGUAGACAUUGUGAAUUUGUUUUCUUUUGUGACAAGAUAACACUGUUUUCUUUCCUGUAAAAGGCAUGUCUUGUAGCAAGGUAGCACUUACCUGGGAACCCAGGAGAACAGACACAGCAAUCAUGCAAUUUCCCUCAAGCCUUGCAAUUAUUGAGGAAUCUAUUCUGGUGAUUACAGUUUAUAUGUUGCUGCAAUGUGUACACGAAAAUCCUACCACUCUUUCUUAGUAAGAGAGUGAUGCAUGACAAAGCAUGCGAGCCAUACUUCAUUCUUCCACAGAGUCACAUCUACUAAAAACUGGAAAUAAAUAAAAGAGGUUAUUGUAUUCAUGUCUGAUGGUUGAUAUGCAUUUUAAUUGGUCCCUGUAAUCUCAUGUUGCAAAUGCUUUACAGACUCCUGGAGAAUGUUUAUCUCCUCUUAGGUGAGAUGGUAGACUAACUCCAACAUAAUACGGACAAGUCAUUUAGUGCUUGUUUUUACUAUUUUGUAAGGGAUUAGUUACUUGGAUGCAUAUUAUUGUUGCUAGAUCUCCGUUUGAAUUAUUAAUUACAAUUACAUCAUUAAAUUGUCUAAUAAACAUUGCCCUAUAAGUAGUUGGAUUAUCUUACUUGAUUUGUUCCAAUCUUGCAGCAUUUCUGUGUUAUUCACCAAACUAAGAAGUUAUUGCAAAU
Pelobates cultripes (western spadefoot toad) is the source of this 697-nucleotide non-coding RNA. NCBI's taxonomy places the organism in Eukaryota, Metazoa, Chordata, Amphibia, Anura, Pelobatidae. The record is from the annotation of a GenBank genome assembly.